This is a non-coding RNA of Trichonephila inaurata madagascariensis, 85 nucleotides long. NCBI's taxonomy places the organism in Eukaryota, Metazoa, Arthropoda, Arachnida, Araneae, Nephilidae. The record is from the annotation of a GenBank genome assembly.
GUCCCUGAAGCGCAAUAGAUAACGCGUUGGAUAUAUAAUCCAAGAUCCAUUGCAUCCCAGUUGGGUUCGAAUCCCAACUGGGAUA